This 465-nucleotide ribosomal RNA is filed under the name Vreelandella stevensii. Its description in RNAcentral is "partial 16S ribosomal RNA". It matches the Rfam family "Bacterial small subunit ribosomal RNA", at positions 338 to 795 of the family's 1533-position model. Lineage: Bacteria; Pseudomonadati; Pseudomonadota; Gammaproteobacteria; Oceanospirillales; Halomonadaceae. The record is from RNAcentral.
CCUACGGGAGGCAGCAGUGGGGAAUAUUGGACAAUGGGCGAAAGCCUGAUCCAGCCAUGCCGCGUGUGUGAAGAAGGCCUUCGGGUUGUAAAGCACUUUCAGUGGGGAAGAAAGCCUUGGGGCUAAUACCCUCGAGGAAGGACAUCACCCACAGAAGAAGCACCGGCUAACUCCGAGCCAGCAGCCGCGGUAAUACGGAGGGUGCGAGCGUUAAUCGGAAUUACUGGGCGUAAAGCGCGCGUAGGCGGUCUGAUAAGCCGGUUGUGAAAGCCCCGGGCUCAACCUGGGAACGGCAUCCGGAACUGUCAGGCUAGAGUGCAGGAGAGGAAGGUAGAAUUCCCGGUGUAGCGGUGAAAUGCGUAGAGAUCGGGAGGAAUACCAGUGGCGAAGGCGGCCUUCCGGACUGACACUGACGCUGAGGUGCGAAAGCGUGGGUAGCAAACAGGAUUAGAUACCCGAGUAGUC